This 253-nucleotide ribosomal RNA is filed under the name uncultured bacterium. RNAcentral's name for it is "partial 16S ribosomal RNA". It matches the Rfam family "Bacterial small subunit ribosomal RNA", at positions 524 to 776 of the family's 1533-position model. The record is from RNAcentral.
UACGUAGGGUGCAAGCGUUAAUCGGAAUUACUGGGCGUAAAGCGUGCGCAGGCGGUUAUGUAAGACAGAUGUGAAAUCCCCGGGCUCAACCUGGGAACUGCAUUUGUGACUGCAUAGCUUGAGUGCGGCAGAGGGGGAUGGAAUUCCGCGUGUAGCAGUGAAAUGCGUAGAUAUGCGGAGGAACACCGAUGGCGAAGGCAAUCCCCUGGGCCUGCACUGACGCUGAGACGCGAAAGCGUGGGGAGCGAACAGG